GACGAACGCUGGCGGCGUGCCUAAUACAUGCAAGUCGAGCGAACGGACGAGAAGCUUGCUUCUCUGAUGUUAGCGGCGGACGGGUGAGUAACACGUGGAUAACCUACCUAUAAGACUGGGAUAACUUCGGGAAACCGGAGCUAAUACCGGAUAAUAUUUUGAACCGCAUGGUUCAAAAGUGAAAGACGGUCUUGCUGUCACUUAUAGAUGGAUCCGCGCUGCAUUAGCUAGUUGGUAAGGUAACGGCUUACCAAGGCAACGAUGCGUAGCCGACCUGAGAGGGUGAUCGGCCACACUGGAACUGAGACACGGUCCAGACUCCUACGGGAGGCAGCAGUAGGGAAUCUUCCGCAAUGGGCGAAAGCCUGACGGAGCAACGCCGCGUGAGUGAUGAAGGUCUUCGGAUCGUAAAACUCUGUUAUUAGGGAAGAACAUAUGUGUAAGUAACUGUGCACAUCUUGACGGUACCUAAUCAGAAAGCCACGGCUAACUACGUGCCAGCAGCCGCGGUAAUACGUAGGUGGCAAGCGUCAUCCGGAAUUAUUGGGCGUAAAGCGCGCGUAGGCGGUUUUUUAAGUCUGAUGUGAAAGCCUACGGCUCAACCGUGGAGGGUCAUUGGAAACUGGAAAACUUGAGUGCAGAAGAGGAAAGUGGAAUUCCAUGUGUAGCGGUGAAAUGCGCAGAGAUAUGGAGGAACACCAGUGGCGAAGGCGACUUUCUGGUCUGUAACUGACGCUGAUGUGCGAAAGCGUGGGGAUCAAACAGGAUUAGAUACCCUGGUAGUCCACGCCGUAAACGAUGAGUGCUAAGUGUUAGGGGGUUUCCGCCCCUUAGUGCUGCAGCUAACGCAUUAAGCACUCCGCCUGGGGAGUACGACCGCAAGGUUGAAACUCAAAGGAAUUGACGGGGACCCGCACAAGCGGUGGAGCAUGUGGUUUAAUUCGAAGCAACGCGAAGAACCUUACCAAAUCUUGACAUCCUUUGACAACUCUAGAGAUAGAGCCUUCCCCUUCGGGGGACAAAGUGACAGGUGGUGCAUGGUUGUCGUCAGCUCGUGUCGUGAGAUGUUGGGUUAAGUCCCGCAACGAGCGCAACCCUUAAGCUUAGUUGCCAUCAUUAAGUUGGGCACUCUAAGUUGACUGCCGGUGACAAACCGGAGGAAGGUGGGGAUGACGUCAAAUCAUCAUGCCCCUUAUGAUUUGGGCUACACACGUGCUACAAUGGACAAUACAAAGGGCAGCGAAACCGCGAGGUCAAGCAAAUCCCAUAAAGUUGUUCUCAGUUCGGAUUGUAGUCUGCAACUCGACUACAUGAAGCUGGAAUCGCUAGUAAUCGUAGAUCAGCAUGCUACGGUGAAUACGUUCCCGGGUCU
RNAcentral lists this ribosomal RNA (1372 nucleotides) under uncultured bacterium. RNAcentral describes it as "bacterial SSU rRNA". It matches the Rfam family "Bacterial small subunit ribosomal RNA", at positions 28 to 1381 of the family's 1533-position model. The record is from RNAcentral.